GUUGUAUGGUUAAGUGACUAAGCGUACACGGUGGAUGCCUUGGCAGUUGGAGGCGAUGAAGGACGUACUAACUUGCGAUAAGCCUAGUCAAGCCAGUAAGAGGCGCUUGAGACUAGGAUUUCCGAAUGGGGAAACCCACCUGCUUUGCAGGUAUCGUUAACUGAAUACAUAGGUUAACGAGGCGAACGCGGAGAACUGAAACAUCUAAGUACCCGUAGGAAAAGAAAUCAACCGAGAUUCCGAAAGUAGCGGCGAGCGAAAUCGGAGCAGCCCUUAAGCUUUAAUGUAGUUAGUGGAAUAUGCUGGAAAGCAUGACGAAACAGGGUGAUAGUCCCGUACACGACAACUUAUUUAAAGUGAAAUCGAGUAGGUCGGAGCACGUGAAACUUUGACUGAAUAUGGGGGGACCAUCCUCCAAGGCUAAAUACUCCCAACUGACCGAUAGUGAACCAGUACCGUGAGGGAAAGGCGAAAAGAACCCCUGUGAGGGGAGUGAAAUAGAACCUGAAACCGUGUACGUACAAGCAGUAGGAGCCUACUUUUUGGGUGACUGCGUACCUUUUGUAUAAUGGGUCAGCGACUUAUAUUCUGUAGCGAGGUUAACCAUUUAGGGGAGCCGUAGCGAAAGCGAGUCUUAACUGGGCGCUUAAGUUGCAGGGUAUAGACCCGAAACCCGGUGAUCUAGCCAUGGGCAGGUUGAAGGUUGAGUAACAUCAACUGGAGGACCGAACCCACUAACGUUGAAAAGUUAGGGGAUGACCUGUGGCUAGGAGUGAAAGGCUAAUCAAACCGGGAGAUAGCUGGUUCUCCCCGAAAUCUAUUUAGGUAGAGCCUCGGACGAAUACUUACGGGGUAGAGCACUGUUAAGGCUAGGGGUCAUCCCGACUUACCAACCCUUUGCAAACUCCGAAUACCGUAAAGUAAUAUCCGGGAGACACACGGCGGGUGCUAACGUCCGUCGUGGAGAGGGAAACAACCCAGACCGUCAGCUAAGGUCCCAAAGUGUAUGUUAAGUGGGAAACGAUGUGGGAAGGCUAAAACAGCUAGGAGGUUGGCUUAGAAGCAGCCACCCUUUAAAGAAAGCGUAAUAGCUCACUAGUCGAGUCGGCCUGCGCGGAAGAUGUAACGGGGCUAAACAUACCACCGAAGCUACGGCUGCGAACUUAGUUCGCGGGGUAGGGGAGCGUUCUGUAAGUGGCUGAAGGUGUGCCGGGAGGCAUGCUGGACAUAUCAGAAGUGCGAAUGCUGACAUGAGUAACGACAAGAGGAGUGAAAAACUCCUCCGCCGGAAGACCAAGGGUUCCUAUCCCAUGUUAAUCAGGGUAGGGUGAGUCGACCCCUAAGGCGAGGCUGAAGAGCGUAGUCGAUGGGAAACGGGUUAAUAUUCCCGUACUCGGUAUGAAUGCGAUGGGGGGACGGAGCAGGCUAGGCAAGCAUGGCGUUGGUUGUCCAUGUGAAAGGCUGUAGGCUGGCGACUUAGGAAAAUCCGGGUUGCUAAGGCUGAGAGUCGAGACGAGCCACUAAGGUGGUGAAGUUGUUGAUGCCCUACUUCCAGGAAAAGCCUCUAAGCUUCAGUUCAUACUGAAUCGUACCCUAAACCGACACAGGUGGUCAGGUAGAGAAUACUAAGGCGCUUGAGAGAACUCGGGUGAAGGAACUAGGCAAAAUUGUACCGUAACUUCGGGAGAAGGUACGCUCUUGUUUGUGAAAGACUUGCUCUGUAAGCAAACGAGAGCCGCAGUGACCAGGUGGCUGGGACUGUUUAUUAAAAACACAGCACUGUGCAAAAUCGUAAGAUGACGUAUACGGUGUGACACCUGCCCGGUGCCGGAAGGUUAAUUGAUGGGGUUAGCUUAGGCGAAGCUCUUGAUCGAAGCCCCGGUAAACGGCGGCCGUAACUAUAACGGUCCUAAGGUAGCGAAAUUCCUUGUCGGGUAAGUUCCGACCUGCACGAAUGGUGUAACCAUGGCCACGCUGUCUCCACCCGAGACUCAGUGAAAUUGAAAUCGCAGUGAAGAUGCUGUGUACCCGCGGCUAGACGGAAAGACCCCGUGAACCUUUACUACAGCUUGGCACUGAACAUUGACCCUACAUGUGUAGGAUAGGUGGGAGGCUUUGAAGCGCGCACGCUAGUGCACGUGGAGCCGACCUUGAAAUACCACCCUUGUAGUGUUGAUGUUCUAACUUAGGCCCCUGAAUCGGGGUUGAGGACAGUGCCUGGUGGGUAGUUUGACUGGGGCGGUCUCCUCCCAAAGAGUAACGGAGGAGCACGAAGGUUUGCUAAGUACGGUCGGACAUCGUACGGUUAGUGUAAUGGUAGAAGCAAGCUUAACUGCGAGACAGACACGUCGAGCAGGUACGAAAGUAGGUCAUAGUGAUCCGGUGGUUCUGAAUGGAAGGGCCAUCGCUCAACGGAUAAAAGGUACUCCGGGGAUAACAGGCUGAUACCGCCCAAGAGUUCAUAUCGACGGCGGUGUUUGGCACCUCGAUGUCGGCUCAUCACAUCCUGGGGCUGAAGUCGGUCCCAAGGGUAUGGCUGUUCGCCAUUUAAAGUGGUACGCGAGCUGGGUUUAGAACGUCGUGAGACAGUUCGGUCCCUAUCUGCCGUGGGCGUUUGAGAAUUGAGAGGGGCUGCUCCUAGUACGAGAGGACCGGAGUGGACGAACCGCUGGUGUUCGGGUUGUGAUGCCAAUUGCAUUGCCCGGUAGCUACGUUCGGAAUCGAUAACCGCUGAAAGCAUCUAAGCGGGAAGCGAGCCUCGAGAUGAGUUCUCACUUUGACUUAGAGUCAACUGAAGGGCCGUUGAAGACUACAACGUUGAUAGGCGAGAUGUGGAAGUGCUGUGAGGCAUUAAGCUAACUCGUACUAAUUACCCGUGAGGCUUAACCAUACAACGCCAAAGUGGUUU
This 2908-nucleotide ribosomal RNA is filed under the name Pseudoalteromonas piscicida. Its description in RNAcentral is "bacterial LSU rRNA". It matches the Rfam family "Bacterial large subunit ribosomal RNA". Lineage: Bacteria; Pseudomonadati; Pseudomonadota; Gammaproteobacteria; Alteromonadales; Pseudoalteromonadaceae. The record is from RNAcentral.